CUUCGGAGCAUUUUACGAGGUGCUGCAUGGUUGUCGUCAGCUCGUGCCGUGAGGUGUCGGGUUAAGUCCCAUAACGAGCGGCAACCCCUACCUUUAGUUGCCAUCAGGUUAAGCUGGGGACUCUAAAGGAACUGCCUACGCAAGUAGUGAGGAAGGCGGGGAUGACGUCAAAUCAGCACGGCCCUUACGUCCAGGGCUACACACGUGCUACAAUGGCCGAUACAGAGGCAGCUACCUGGUGACAGGAUGCAAAUCUCCAAAGUCGGUCUCAGUUCGGAUCGGAGUCUGCAACCCGACUCCGUGAAGUUGGAUUCGCUAGUAAUCGCGCAUCAGCCAUGGCGCGGUGAAUACGUUCCCGGGCCUU
RNAcentral lists this ribosomal RNA (364 nucleotides) under uncultured Sphingobacteriales bacterium. RNAcentral describes it as "bacterial SSU rRNA". It matches the Rfam family "Bacterial small subunit ribosomal RNA", at positions 1019 to 1382 of the family's 1533-position model. Lineage: Bacteria; Pseudomonadati; Bacteroidota; Sphingobacteriia; Sphingobacteriales. The record is from RNAcentral.